CUCUCAGACUUGAGGCCCCCAGGGGAACGUGCCAUCACAGCGCAAAGUCCUCUAUGCCUUGCCUUUAGAGUCUCCAGCGUCAUUGCUGUGUGAGGUCUGCUACUUCAUGGGAACGUGCUGUUGCAGCG
This is a long non-coding RNA of Lemur catta (Ring-tailed lemur), 128 nucleotides long. RefSeq lists it as uncharacterized. NCBI's taxonomy places the organism in Eukaryota, Metazoa, Chordata, Mammalia, Primates, Lemuridae. The transcript has 3 exons. The record is from RefSeq and is a predicted model, not a curated record.